Molecule: ribosomal RNA, 465 nt
Filed under: uncultured bacterium
Lineage: Bacteria
Description: partial 16S ribosomal RNA
Rfam family: Bacterial small subunit ribosomal RNA
Source: RNAcentral
GACGAACGCUGGCGGCGUGCUUAACACAUGCAAGUCGUACGGUAAGGCCCUUUCGGGGGUCCACGAGUGGCGAACGGGUGAGUAACACGUGAGUAACCUGCCCACAACUUUGGGAUAACGCUAGGAAACUGGUGCUAAUACUGGAUAUGUGCCCCUGCUGCAUGGUGGGGGUUGGAAAGCUCCGGCGGUUGUGGAUGGACUCGCGGCCUAUCAGCUUGUUGGUGGGGUAGUGGCCUACCAAGGCGGCGACGGGUAGCCGGCCUGAGAGGGUGACCGGCCACAUUGGGACUGAGAUACGGCCCAGACUCCGACGGGAGGCAGCAGUGGGGAAUAUUGCACAAUGGGCGCAAGCCUGAUGCAGCAACGCCGCGUGCGGGAUGACGGCCUUCGGGUUGUAAACCGCUUUCAGCAGGGACGAAGCUUUUUGUGACGGUACCUGCAGAAGAAGCACCGGCUAACUACGUG